ACACCCUCAACCUUCUUGGUUUCUUGACCAGGAAGGCUUGGACUUUUGGAGGUUUUCCUUGCUGGCCUCCCUUUUGAAGCCAGCUCCUCCUAAAUGGAUUAGUGGGGUCCGCUUUGCUGAUCCUUGACGUGAUAAGUAUCCUUCUACGUCUUGGGUUUUGCACUGUUGGCCUGGAACCCGCUUCCAACGGUCUUCGAAAGGAGACGACGUUCGAGUCGCAUCGUGACUUGACCUCAAUGA
RNAcentral lists this unclassified non-coding RNA (240 nucleotides) under uncultured Russula. RNAcentral describes it as "sequence contains ITS2". Lineage: Eukaryota; Fungi; Basidiomycota; Agaricomycetes; Russulales; Russulaceae. The record is from RNAcentral.